Molecule: ribosomal RNA, 473 nt
Filed under: uncultured organism
Description: partial 16S ribosomal RNA
Rfam family: Bacterial small subunit ribosomal RNA
Source: RNAcentral
ACACUCCUGCGGGAGGCAGCAGUGGGGAAUUUUGGACAAUGUGCGAAAGCCUGAUCCAGCAAUGCCGCGUGAGUGAAGAAGGCCUUCGGGUUGUAAAGCUCUUUUGUCAGGGAAGAAACGGUGAAAGCUAAUAUCUUUUGCUAAUGACGGUACCUGAAGAAUAAGCACCGGCUAACUACGUGCCAGCAGCCGCGGUAAUACGUAGGGUGCAAGCGUUAAUCGGAAUUACUGGGCGUAAAGCGUGCGCAGGCGGUUUUGUAAGUCUGAUGUGAAAUCCCCGGGCUCAACCUGGGAAUUGCAUUGGAGACUGCAAGGCUAGAAUCUGGCAGAGGGGGGUAGAAUUCCACGUGUAGCAGUGAAAUGCGUAGAUAUGUGGAGGAACACCGAUGGCGAAGGCAGCCCCCUGGGUCAAGUUUGACGCUCAUGCACGAAAGCGUGGGGAGCAAACAGGAUUAGAAACCCCUGUAGUCCCA